UAAAAGUUUUAUGAUGUCACGCGAUAAGCCGAUAAGUUAACGCAGGCCUCUUUGCCUCCGUUUGGUUGGGAGUUAAGGGGUGGAAUAAUCUCUUAACCCCCAACCCAUCUCAAAUGGGUUAUUCCGGAUUAGCUAACCCCACCUAACUCCACCAAAUCCCAACCAAAUAUUAUUUUCUAUUCAUAAUAACCCACUAUUCUUCUUAUGCCACCUACUCCAACCAAACACUAUUUUUCACUAUUCUGGACUAACUCCAAUCCCCAACCAAACACAAAAAUACUCUAACCCACCUUAACCCUAAACUUAACCCUAUUCCUAGAAUAACUAGUUUUUCCUUAACCCCGAAUCAAACGGUAGCUUUGGGUUUUGCCUUUUGUUUUGUUUUUUUUUUUUUUUUUUUUUUUUUUUUUGAGAGAUAGGUAGUACGCUAUCCGCUUCUUUUAUUUCAUUUAAAAAUAAACUUAGCUAGAAAUGUGAAUCAACUAGGAUUCGAACUUAGGUCUCGGAUACUAACCACCAAGCCUUUUGUCACUUGCUUUAGGGACGGUUGGUGGUUUUUGCUUUUUGUUUCUUUUGUUUUUUUGAGUAGAGCUCUAAAUGAUAUGCAAUUGAAUGGGUUGAUUGUGUACAAAUAUAUAUAAGGACCAAAAUUAAUAUUCCAUUUUUCCACCAACCGUCCCUAUCCUAAGUGGCAAAGGGUUUGAUGGUUGGUACCUGAGGUCCUAAGUUCGAAUUCUUGUUGAUUCACAUUUCCAGCUAAGUUUAUUUCUAAAUAAAAUAAACGAAACGAGUAGCGUGCUACCUAUCUCUCGAAAAAAAAAAUUCCAUUUUUCCUAACUUUAUGAAAAGGUUACUAAUAUAUUUUCAAGCAGGCAUAUAUACUCACAUCAGUGGUAAGACACUAGGAUGAAAAUGGAGCAGAGCCGGAUUACUGGAUAAUGAUGUAAUAAAGGGCUAAGCUUAUGAUUCUUAUUGGAAAUAAAAAAAAAGAAGAGGAAAAUAAGUCCUACGUGGGCUUGCAUCGUAAUUUGCCUGGCCCCUUCUUGGGCCAACGAAAGGGUCCAUUCUUUCCCACUAUAGGGUUCUUUAGCUUGUUCUAUUGUUAGUUCCUCGCUCUCCUCUUCAAAAUCGACUCUAACAAUUGACCGUCAAAUAGCCUUUGGACCGUCAAUUGACCGUCAAAAUGGUCACAUGGGUAUUUUGAUCCCCCUUGGACCAAAAUACUCUCCCAACAGUCAAAUAUUUGAUUGUUGGGAGGGUAUUUUGUUCCAAAAAAUAUUUAAAUAAUUUUAAUAUUUUAAUAUUUUUAUAAAUAUAUUUUAAAAUUUAAUUUUUACUCAUAUAUUAUUUUUUAAAAAAUAACAUUUUAAUUUUUAUUUUCUAAAAGUUUUAAAUUUUUUAAAAUAAAUUUAAUAAAUAAGAAAGGGCGGCGCGAAGCCUGGCCCGGCCCAGCCCAGCCCAGCCCAGCCCAGCCCGGGGGGCAUGCUAGGAUGGGGGUCCAAAAACUUUGGCCCGGCACGGCACGGCCCAACUUGAGGCCGGGCCGUGCUGGGUUGAACUCGGCUUUCAGCCCGACUAAAUGUGAGCAGUGCCGGCCCGGCACGGCCCACAUUACACUCCUAGUUACACACCGCAGCUUCGCAGUAGAAGCCCCCACUCACGGGUGGCACCAUAGUGUGGUGCGAUUUGGUGCGAGCCCAAUCCCUAGGAGUUGGGCCAAACAGGCCCUUACAUUUCUAGGCCUGUUCUGCUCUUCGUUUUCUUUGGAUGAUGGAUGAUAUGAGAUAGGGCCUGUUUUGGGCCGGUCUAGUAUAGUCGGCAUUCAACUUUUUUAACCCAUGGGUUGAUACCGGCCCAGCCAACUACAAUUAUUUUAUUCUGAUAAAUUAAAACAACUCAGGCCCAGUUGAGGGCUCGUUUCAGAUUUGGUCCUAUGUGUGUGUGUGUGUGUGUUUUCUUUUUUUUUUAAGUUUAAAGCAUCAAAUGUAAUCUAUAUAUAAGAGAGACAUAAUUCGUUUUUUUCAUAAAUAAAAUUAAAUUUUGUUGAAAAAUAUAUUAUGAUCUUUUUAAGUUGAAAAUUCCUUAUUUGUGCUGCUGCGUUUGUACCUGGAACCGGUAAAACUUGGGAUCCCAACCCACGUGCGUAGCACGUGCCAUAAGCCCCAGACUCGGUAAACCGUAACCGCCAAUCCCAGAUUAAGUUUGGGCCGAGCCCAACCCAACAUCUACGAGGCCCACGAUCCACAAUAUCGGCCCACCUCUAUAUAUACGCGCACAUCACGAAGACGAAAGCAAAACCGAGUUGGAAACAUCUCGGUCGCCCUUCUUAUCUCCUCCGCACUUCCCAUGCCAAACCCAAACCCUAACUUCGUCGAAUCGAGCCGCUCCCUUACUCUCUCCUCUCCUCUCCUCUCCUCUCCAUCUCCAUCUCCUAUCGCGGGCUCUCCUCUCCAUCUCCAUCUCCUAUCGCGGAUCCGUAUAAGGUAAUCUCUCCAUCUUCUUCGUUUCUUCUCUAUCUUCGUGGUUUUUUUUUUUUUUUUUUUUUUUUUUUUUUUUUUUUUUUUUUUUUUUUUGGACUGGGAGGAUGCGUAACCCUAAUUUGUUUAACGAGGGUUUGGAUAAUAUUUGGAUUGAUUUAUUAGGUUUUUGUGCACGAUCGAUUGAGGGAAGAGAGAUUGGUGAGGCUUGGACUAGUGGUAGAGCUGGUCUCGAUCGGUUUAGGGAUUUAGGGUUUUCGAUAGGCUAUUGAACGAGGUUGUGGAUCUAAUUGUAUUUGGAUUCUAGGGUUAUUUGUUGCAUUCGAGGAACGUUUGGAAGAGAAAUGAAACUAAAUUUGCGAGGGAUGAGUCUGUGAAGGAAUUAAUGUUUGAUUUUGGUCACACUAUUUUCUUCUUUGCGGUUGUGGAGCUUGAGGUGUAUACUUCUUCUAGGUUUUCUAAUUAGUAUUGAAAUUGAUGAGUACAGGGGUUUCAAGAUGGUGGAUCAAGAUAGUGCUACUGAGGUGUUGGGCUAUAACCGAACCCUACACGGCUCAGCUUUGGCUCGGUGGAUGUUGUUCAAUGAACAGGCUUUGCUUGACUCCGAAGCCGUGUUGCAUGAGCCCAGUCUUGGCUUAUGGGACAUUUUUCUGUUCUAAAUUUAUUAUAUUUUCUUAACUUCUAUCACUUAUCUGCAUAUCCGUCCGCAUGAUAACACAUCAAUCUGAGAACCAGUGCUUUUGCUAAAGCUUGUUUCACAGUUUGAUGAAGUCGAUCAGAGUUUUUAAUUAGCUAAUACCAAGUACAAAUAAGCGUUAUAACAAAAAUAACCAUCCUCUGACCCCCCUGAUUGGAUGAUGCAGUUUGUGAUUUGUGAAAAGUCUCAUUAGUCGAGGAAUUAUUGGUUGUUUGGCGUGUAAUUUUGUUUCCGUAUUGAUUUCUUCUUCUUCUUCUUCUUUUAUUUUAAGCUGUACUUAGGCACAUUGUUUAAGUCCAUAUUGCAAUUUCUUAUUGCAAAAGUCUUUCAAUAACUAAAUCAAGUUGUACAUUUUUAUCGACAUUUGGAGAGCAUAAGCAAAUGGGUUUUCUUUCUCGAAAUGUAGAGAGGGAGAAGUUAGGGACUGAAAAUUUAACAAGUUACUAUUAGUGAAAAUCCUUCCCUUGACCUCAAAGGAGAAGAUUCCUCGUUCGUCUUUGGUGCCUUCUCUUUGGUGCCUGUCUGUGGUUCUAGUAAAAUUUGCCAAAUAAUUGAUCGGAGGAGCCAUGUGCCUGAUGGCUCUACUUGCUAGCUGAUUUUCAUUGUAUGCUGCUUCAUGAACACUUACUUGCGUUUGAAUUGUUGCUAUUUCCAUGUAUAGUUGGUUAUUGCUUGUUUAGUCCAAAUGCACAUACAGUUGGUUAUGUGCACUUCUGUCUCUAUUGUUUAAAGAUUUCUACUGAAUUAAGUUACAUGUGACUGGAAAUUUUCAACUAUCCAUACCUCAUGUUGGCAUGUGUUAUAAUUACAUGCAAGUAUAGUGAUGAGGGAAAUUUUUAGAAUUAUGUAUCGUUUAUCAAUGCGAUAACCAUAUGAACUAAAUGUGUAUUAAUUUCAAUAUAGAAAUCUGAUAAUGUACAAUUUACUGACUUUGUUUGCAUGAUCUUUGUAACCUUGUACAGGUUUUGUGGAGCGUUUAACUGAUCUAUGGAGCUGACAAAGCAGGGGCAAACUACCAUGCCAGCUAAUCUCCGAUCGCAACAAUUACCCUCAUCAGAUAAUCAAUCUGCACAGGUUGAAUUGCUGCCCAUAUUUCAUACCACCUUGCCUGUUGAUUGGGGGUCACAGCAACUGUCGUCAGCGAACAAAUACCUUGUUCAAAGUAUGGGGGAAGCAUCCAUGCCCAUUGAUGUGAGACCAUGUAACAUAAUGCCUCCAAACAAACAAUCAUUUCAGCCAGGAACUUCUCAUCCCUCUCCGUUUCCUCCUCUUUUGGGCUUACAUCAGUUACAUUCUUCAAACAUAGUGCCAUUAGGCUCUGGACGGUUGCUUAAUAUGCAAACCUCUAUGUCGCUACCCUCACCAUCGACAAACAAAAGGCCCAAUCAGAUGGAAACAUCAGGCAAGUUGCAAGCAGUGAAAGGGGGGUUGACCAAAUCCUCAAACAAACGCCCUGCACAGGUGGAACUACUGACAUCAAAGGCCAAAUCAGAGACAUUUGAGUCGGUGAGGUCGAAACUGCGGGAAUCCUUAGCUACCGCUUUGGCUAUAGCUUCUGAACAGCCAGGUGAGCAGCAAUCUGCAGAAAAGAAAUGUAAUAAUGAUGAAGACAUAGCCAGUGAUGUAGGCUCGAAGGAGAAGAUAAAUGAAGAUGCAAACUUGUCUGGUGAUAAGGUACAAGGUGUUCAAUCAAUACUUGUUUCCUCCUAUAAUGAAGUACCAAGUGACAGUAUGACUGUUGCUGAUGAGCUACUGCAAGGUCACGGGCUUCAAUGGGUUUCUGAUCUUGAUGCUGGGCCUACCGAAGCUGUACUAGAACAUGGUUCAAAAAGACUGAAGACUACAGCCCAGGAAGAUACUAACGAUGUCAAAGAAAUCGCUCGGAAGUCUGAAAGUUUGGCGUUUAGAAUUGAAGCGGAGCUCUUCAGACUAUUUGGUGGAGUCAAUAAGAAAUAUAAGGAGAAGGGUAGGUCUCUCUUGUUCAAUCUGAAAGAUCGGAAUAACCCAGAGUUAAGGGAACGGGUUUUAUCUGGCGACAUUGCACCAGAACGUCUCUGUGCUAUGUCUGCUGAGGAACUUGCUUCAAAGGAACUUUCACAGUGGCGGUUGGCUAAGGCCGAAGAGAUGGCACAGAUGGUUGUGCUGCCCGAUUCAGAGGUUGAUGUCAGGCGAUUGGUAAAGAAGACACAUAAAGGAGAAUUUCAAGUUGAAGUAGACCAAUCUGAUGCUGUCUCUGUGGAAGUUGAACUUGGGGCAGGUCUUCUCUCUCGGAUUCCGUCAAAAGGUAAAGAAGAAGUUCGAAAGAAGUCCAAAUCUAAUGAAUUAAAGGAACCUGAAGGAAAGCUGCAAGUUAAGAAGGCUGACUCAGCUGGCAACCCUAACUUGUCAAGCAAUUUGGAAACACUUUUGGAGGAGAAAAGUGAUCUCAUGCAGGAACUGAUGGUUGAUGAUUUCAAAGAUUCAGAUAAUCUUCCUCCUAUAGUUUCUUAUGAUGAGUUCAUGGAGGCCCUUGAUUCUGAACCACCAUUUGAGAAUUUGUCAGUGGAUACUUCACAAGGCAACCAAAGUUCUGGUCGGAAAAACUUAAUUAGCUCAGAUUCAGAGAGAGUUCCUGAAUCAGGUUACCCUACAUCUGAUCCGGUUACUGUAUCAGAUGGCGUUGCAGCCAAGUUAGACUCCACGAAAGAUGGUUCUCCUCUCAAAGUAGAUUCAAAGGAUAGUAAAGUGGAUGUGAAAAAUGCAGAGACUGACAAUGGCGCGAAAUCUACUUCUGAUAAUUUACAACCAGACACCUCUUCUAGUGUUGCAUUGACGAGUGAGAUUUUAUGGGAGGGUGCAAUGCAACUGACGGUUUCUUCACUUGCAAAUGUCAUUGGUCUCUUCAGAAGGUUCGGUGGUUUUUUCUUGUAAAUUUUUGCUAUUCUUUUUCUAAUAACAAUGCUCUGCAUGUCAUUUAAAUGCCUUGUAUAUUUUCAUUCUGACUUUCUGAUUUCACUGAUUUCUUUUUUUUUCCUCCGCUCAGACUGCAGAGGUUCGGUUGUUCUACUAUCAUGAAAAAAGAUUACAUUAGUAUAUCUUCAAUAACUUAAACUUUAGGCUUGUGGUACAUUAAUGAGCCUGCAAGCUCUUUGACAAUGGAGAAUUAAUAGUUGUUUAUUUAAUUUGAUACGAUUCUAUUCUUAAAUGUGAUGAAUGCAAGCAGAACUAAUUCGUAGCCUUGUCCUUGCAGUGGUGAGAAGCUUCAGACAAAAGAAUGGCCCAGCUUUCUUGAGAUCAAAGGAAGAGUAAGAUUUGAUGCUUUUGAGAAGUUCCUCCAACAGCUUCCUCUAUCUCGGAGCCGUGCAAUCAUGGUACUUUCGAUCUAUAUGAUCUAUUGCUCUUCCCAUUCUCCUAGUCAGUGUAGUGUGGACAAAUUUUCUUUAUACCUUUUUAGUUCAUCUCAGUAUAUGUUUAAGUGCUAUCAUGCCCGCAAUUUGAAAGCCAUAAAGAACAAUUAGCUUAUGUGUUCACUUCUUCGAAUUUCUUUUCUUCUAGUUAUGUUAUAAUAUAUUUCAAAGUCACAUACAGAAUGCAACUAUUUUACUACUGCAACCACCAUCACUAGGUUUCAACAGGUCAUAACUAAAUGAAAUCAUCUUCUUGGAUUAGAGAGUAGGUCCAACUUCAAGGUCUCGUAUUAUUGUUAUAUGUUUUCUGCGUAGGAAAGGGUAUUUGAAAGGGCUUCUUAGUGCAUGAAGCACAUCCCAUUGUGUCCCAAUGUGUUGUCAUGGUUUAAUGGGUCCAACAUUCAUGCAAAGUAGCACCACCAUAGGAAGUGGGUAUUUAAGAGUACCAAGUUUGUUGAAAUCGCUGAGGGGGAAAAGAAAAUGCAUACUAAUGCAUUAGUUUCCCUUUCAAACACAUACCUGUGGAAACUGGAAAGUGGUAUUCAUUUUGUUCCCUCAGGCCCUGCCUGCUGUAACCUGUUUUAUUCGUUGUUUAAUUCUUGAUUUCUCCUAAGUUUGUGUGAAUUUAGGUGUUACUUCUGGUCCCGAUUUGUACGAAGGCUAAUAAUAAUAGUCAAACCUUCAUGGUAUUGAGAUUCUGAGAUUUUAUUAAGUAGGCUUUAAUUGGUUAGACCCUUGAUUUUAAUUGGUUAGACCCUUGAUUGGGAAAACCUUAAUUGAGUGGAAAUGGAUAAGAGCAUAGUUUGUAUGGAAGUAUGAUGACUAUAUUUAGAAUAUGUAUCUUGGAUUGGAAGUUCUAGUUGCAAGGUUGCAAUUUUAUAACUGUUUAUUGGCCUCGUAAAACUACAGAGUUUCUGCGGCUACAUGCAUUUUAUUGGUUAUUGCUGACUUGAUGGUGUUUUUUAAAUCUCAUUUUACUGAACCUAUUUGGAGUAUUAAAAAAAAAAACCUUGAUUCCACUGACUUAUGCAUGAUUCUUGUUUAUGAGGCGAGGAAGGCUGCCAAUUGUAGUUGUACACUGAUAACUAAUGGAGUUCUUGUCUUGGUUAUUUGAAUAAAAUCUAAACUAAGAAUACAAAAUAUCUAUAUCUGAAUAACUUAACAACUUUAGAGACACAGAUCCUUCCUUUAUCUUUUGUUAACAGUAUGUUUAUAUAUAUUAACUAAUCUGCAAUGGCUUAGCAUUUUCUCGUCAGAACUAUAACUUUACUGUCCAAUUUUUUAUCUGGGAUUAAAGCGUAGACACCGACUAUCUGUAAUUUUCUCUCCAUCUGUAUCAGGAUUGUGGUAUCAAUAUUCUUCUUCAGUGUAAUGUUUAACGGUGAAACUUUGUCUGUCUAGGCAAACUUGGAAAAUAUACUUAAAGAAAUAUCUGGGCAAUUUCUACUGGGGGAUGUAAUUGUAAACUAAUUGUGUAUAAAGAUUUCCAUACCUAAGCUGGUUGAUUUUGUGACGAGGACUGAUGCACGGCACGAAUCUAUGCCACAAUUUAUGUUAUGUAUAUCUGAAACUUGCAAUAGUAUAAUUAUUUAAUGAAGGUGAGCUUUUAACCGAUAAAUUACAAACUUGUACCUCAGCUUAUUGAUCAUCUUUAGAACCUCAGGAUCUAGAUAUAAGAUUUGAAAGGUGGAUAUUCGAGAAGUAUAUUUCUCAUUUCUGUUGGAGUGCCCUGGAGUCAUGGGUCCGCAUUGUUCUGUUAAACUUGAAGCUAUAGCACUCGUCCUACUUACAAACAUGAGUAAAAGCUAUGCAAUACAUUGUAUUAGGUUUCUUGUCACUAGACUUCAAGUUAAAAAAGUGCUCUUUCCCACUUGCAAAUAUGACCAACGCCUAGGUUGGUAAUGUAUUUAGACUAUAGAAUGCCCAAAACAAUUAAAAAACACUUAUAAUCUUUUCUUCUCUUAUCUUUAAAUUUACAGUGGCAACCACCACUAGAGAAGCGUACAGUGUUUUAGAUUUUUCUAGCAUUCUAUAAUAUAAAAAUGAUAUUUUUAGCUACCAUAUUGGCAAAUUAGGCGAAACUGCUAAGCAUUAUGGGCAUGUGCUUUCUUGUUGCUCAAACUAAUGGAUAAUUAUUAUGUGUAAAACUAGGUGUUUGAUUUAUAUUGAUCCCCUUUCGAUUUAACUGUUUUUGAGUAAACCAAUAAAUUGGGAAGAUAUAAUCUGACAAGUAGUUACAUUCUUUUUAUUUAUUUUGUUAAAUUUCUUACCUAAAAAAGUCAUCCUUCCUCAUUUUUAUGUCUCGCCACUUCCCUUUUGCAGAUUUCUCAGUUUUGUUGGAAGGAAGGUUCUCCUGAGAGCGGCCGAGUGAACUUGUCUGAGGUUGUAAAUUUUCUUCACGGUAAAGCUCGUUAUCCUAAUUCUCGUUUCCUAAUCCUUUGUCGCCCUAUCUUUUGCAGACAGUCGAGUCUUACAUUGCGGAUGAGAGAGUGGGAUUUGCCGAACCUACCCCCGGAGUGGAGCUAUACUUGUGCCCUCCUCACUCAAGGACUCUGGGAGUACUCGCGACCUUUCUUUCAAAGGAGCACGCCGAGACUCUUCGUUCGGCCGAGAAGAGUCUCAUCGGCGUGGUGGUGUGGAGAAGGCCACAUGUAAAUAUGUCACCUAGGGCGUCCUCCCACCACAAGCAUAGUGGCUCCAGGAAACACUCGAGGAAACAUCUCAUCAAUUCUAGCUCCGCUAGAUCUUCUUUCACGCCUACUCAUCCUGUAUCGCCCACACCCACUAAUAAUAUCCACCCGUCAAAUGACGAUGAAUAUGAUGAUGAUGUGCCUCCGGGCUUCGGCCCUUCAAAUUCGAGGGACGAAGAUGAUCUCCCUGAAUUUGAUUUCACUAACACCGCAAAACCUUCUGUACCGUCAAUCCACUCUCGCGGUCCGGUGGUCCGUCAUCCACCACCAUCGGGUCGCCCGAUGGAGCAAAUGAGGGAGUUGGUGUACAAAUAUGGACACAGUAAGAAGGAUAAAGCGCUAAAUAUAGAAACUGAGCCAUGGAAUGAUGAUGAUGAUAUCCCAGAAUGGGAUCCCCGUCAAGAUAAUCAGCUGCAAAGUCAGGCUGCGCCGCCGCAUGCACCACCACAACCACAACCACAACAAUCACUAAACCCUACCCCAACGCCACCGUCACUACCACCACCGCUGCCGCUCCAGCAGCCUGCAUCACAGUUGCAUUUGUAUCAGCAGCCGCCGUUGCAGCCUUUCCAAGUGAGCCAUAAUGCAGCAGUGCCGCCCAACCAGCAGUUGCCACCUCAGCAGCUCGCACAGACGGCUAUGCCACAUCAACAACCACUUCAGCCUCAAAUGGGCGUGGUUCAACCUAGUUGGAACCCUAAUCAGUGGCCAACUGACGUGGGUAUGCCUGUGAACAAUAAUGGGUCGAUGCAGCCACUUCCCGUAAGUGGGCACUCCUACGGCUUUCAUAACAUGGGUGGGUCAAUUCCGAGUUCCAUCGGGUGGAGACCAGAUCUAACGCCACGUAAUAAUAGGGGUGGUUAGUGCGAUUUUGAUGUUGUAAUCGGUAGUAAACUCUCUCCAUCUUUGUAAUUAAACUGUGUGUAUGAUCCGCGUACUCCUUUUAGGCGGUUAGAUCGAAUGCAGGUUGGAGCACAUGAUAUCCAUCUUCGUUAUGCCUGGUAUUUUCCUCGCCAAAUUUUGGGCUGCUUUAAUUAACCUUGUUAGUAGGACUGAUGAAGAAUAUGUAAUAUGGAUAACUGAAUCUUAAUAAUCUUUGAACGCUUGUGCGGGUUAUUUUGAGAUGGUGUAUUAUGGCUACCGUAUGUUGCAACCUAACCUUGAAAGAUUCGAAGGGAUAUGGCCAAAUCAUCCAGGUAGCUAACGUGGCGAGGCCUGGGGAGAUUUCGGUGGUCAACAUCGACCUCUCCAAGUCGUGGUGUACCUUGCCUUGCAUAUGUGUUACUUACCUUUUUUUUAAAAAAUAAUAAAAAAAAUAUAUUUUUAAAAAAUAAUAAAAAAAAUAUAUUUUUAGGGGGGGAGCUCUCUCUGCUAGUUUUUUUUUUUUUUUUUUUUUUUUUAGAGAUAGGUAGCACGUUAUCUGUUUCGUUUAUUUCAUUUAGAAAUAAACUUAGCUAGAAAUAUAAAUCAAUUAGAAUUCGAAUUUGGGUCUCGGAUAUCAACCACCAAGCCCUUGUGAUAAAAGCAAUAAUGCAAUAAUGCUCUGCUAGCUUUUCUUCACUGCUCUCAGAUGAGAGCUUUUUUCUUUUUGUAAUUUCUGGGAAAGCAAUAAUGCUCUAGGCUGAUGAGUGUUCAAAAUAUAUUGUAACCCAACAACACCCCUGUCCUGAUAAAAGAAUAUGUUAUUUUUAGGACUGCUGUGUCCUCUCCGGAUAACCCAUAAUUAUGUACUUCAUGAAGGAACUAAGUAUAUUUAUAUUCGGCUGCCAUUUUGUUUGUGGUGGUGGUGGUUUACUUAUCUCAAUAAAUCAUAUCUUGUCCUUUUUCUGUCUUCAAUUUUUCUUGUCCAAAAUCCUCAAGCACAGUAAAUGAUUAGAAAAAAAAAAAAAGGAGAAGAAACUUACAAAGCGUGAGACUGAAUCCUCUCAUCGAGCGUGGAAAUAAUAAAACCCUAAAUGAGACCGUCAUUCUCUAAUUAAGUACUAAUUCUUAUAUAAUUUUCAGCAUAGGCUAAACGAAUUUGCUCACUUUCCCUACUAUCAUGAUUUACUGCGUUAUCCAUUUGUAGAACAGUAGUGUUUUUUGUUUUUUUUUGGGCAAAAAAAUCAUACUUUCCCGAAUUUUAUGUUCUACUUGAUUACUAUUGUUAAUUACCCCAUGCUUCUUCUAGAAGUUGCUCUGCGUUGCCAUGCAAUGAACCCAGAGUUUUUUUUUUUCUUCUUUUUUUGGGUUUUUGCGAUAAGAAAUUAGUAAACACACUGAUAAUUAUCAGAGUAGACUUAAAGAAGCAUGGUGUUUUCGUCGUUGAAAUUGGUUAUGAACUGCUACAAAACAAGGAGUUAUUUUUAAUUAGUAUAUUUUCAUAUACGAGAAGGAUCCAUCGGUAAAUAAUCUGUAAGAUAGCUAGACUCCCAACUUGGCACGAGUGCUGGCCGAAUACUUCUACACUCUAUCAACUUAUAACCCAAAAAAGUUAAAAAAAAAAUCCACAAAGCAGAGAUUUUUACAAAUAUAAAGUACAAACUUUUCCGUUGAUAAAUUGAUUGAGAGAGACAGUGGUGGCUUUCCACCCAGUUACACACAAUAGUGAAAUAUAAAAGAAAAGAAUAAAAAAAACAUAACUAAGAAAAAUUAGGACAUGGUAUAAUAUCCAAAGGAAUCUCUAGCUAGCACCCCCCAAAAUAACAAUACAAUUAAUUACCUGGCAAACAACAACCUAGCUAAUUACGUACGCCUCCUUACAGUCAACCAUUUUGCUUUUCUUUAGUCUAAAGAACUCAAUUAGUCGACCCUCCACCUUUUCUCCUAACUAUACCAAACAAGCCCUUCUUUUUCUAAAAGGAAUCACACGUACUAUGCUAGCUAGUACGAUACUUCGAUCAGUCGCCGCCAUUCAUAAUAGCUACAGUUUUUCUUACUACUUAGGAAUCUAAAGGGUUCAAUGAUGACGACCGCUGGCUACUACCUACAUGCAUAUUGAAGUAUAAGAUGAGACAGAUAUAUAUAUAUAUAUAGGUAACGGAUGCGCGGGGCGCAUUUGCACAAUUUCCACAAACGCAACAACACUACGUAUAUUCUUUUCUUAUCAUGUGUAAUGUGUGAUUAAUAUUCUUAAUUAAUUUGUUACUAUUAAUCAAUCCAUGCUUAAAUUGUUAAUCCAAGCUCAUCAUGCUCUGGUGGAACGCGGCCACGCACUCGGGCGUAACGCACUGCGUGAUGAGGCGGGCCCCACCGGGCUUGUGCGCGGAGGGCCUGACGAGGAUACACGUGGCGAUGUAGUCGAGGUUGGUGAGCGGCACCACGUGGACCGGCGGGCCCCAGCCGUAGUCGACCUCGGCGAAGCCCAGGCGGGUCCAAUCCGAGACGAGCAGCGUGUUCCGGUCGGCCGUGAUCCGGUACGGGUCCCCGGCGGCGUCCCCGGCGGCCCACCGCGCGAACUCCGCGGGCAGCCGCUUCUUCCCCUCCUUGACGAGCUUCACGAUCUCCACGAUCGGGGAGCUCGCGAUCCUCUCGCUCGGCGCCGAGACCCUCAUGAUGUAGUAGCAGUUCCCGUAGAAGCCGCAGCUCGCGGGGAUCUUCGGGGCGAGCACGGGGCGCGCGUUCAUGGCGAAGCAGAGGUGGACGGGGGAGCCCCGGUCGAAGCCGAAGCCGAAGCUGAGGGCGCGGGUGCGGCUCUGCCACGCCUUCGCGAUGAGCACGUCGAACGCCGAGCAGCGCUGACCGGUCAGCGCCAGGAACUGGGCCUUGAAGCGGUUGACGUAGUCGGCGGCGAUGUCCAUGGCGAGGUACUCCAGGCGGACGCCCGUCGCCGCGGGGAGGGGCCCGCGGGGCGCGCCGCGGGGGGGCUCCGGGAUCGCCUCGCGGAGCCACGUCGGCUCCACGGUGGGCCCCGCGGCGCCGCGCGCGAUCUCGCCCACCGCGCCCAUGAACUGGGCCGCGCCCGGCCCGUCCGCCACCGCGUGGCUGAACCGGAACCCCACCACGAACCCACCGCAGCUGAAUCGGGUCACCUGCUUUAAUCAAUCAAUCAAUCAAUCAAUCAAUAAACAAGCAAGCAAUUAAGCAAAUAAAUAACAAACAAACGAACUAACUAACUAACUUUUUCCGUAUUUAAUUAGUUGCUUUUCUUUAUUCUUAAUAAUACUAUCUGUCUAUCUAGUAUAAUUAAGUAUACCGGAUAUAUAUAGUACACAUUAUCGAUCAGUGAUAAAUUAAGGAAUGAAAAUCCUGCAGUAAUAUUAUUCUUAAUUUUCAUACCUUAAUUCUUAGAUAUAUAUAUGUUCGCCUUAAUUUUCAGAAAAAAUGCAUUAAUCACAAGCUAAUUAAUAUCGAUCGGCGGCGGCAGGAAUACAAAUAUCCAUCAGCUAGCUAGUCUAUAGACUAUAGUACGUACAUUCAAUAGGUACAUGCAGUAGGAAAUUUAAUUUGUGCUCGAUCUCUUUUCUAAAAAAAAUUGGAUCUGUUAAAGAAGAAAAAAAUAAUAGUACGUAAUAGAAACAGAGGGAAAUCGCGCGGGUCCUUUAAUUAAUCAAAGCAAAUAAAGCAUUAUAAUUAUGAAUAAAAUCUGUACGUACGUAUACGUACCUGGACAAGUAAAAUGAGUUUAUCUUCUUGGGAGGGAUCCAAUUUAGGGACGGGGUGAGGCAAGAGCUCGUCCUUGGGUAUCUUCAAAGGGUACUCCAAGUAGUCCACGUCCUCCAACGUGGCCUCGGCCGUGGCCUCCACGAACCAAACCCCCUCGCCGGUGCAGUCGACCUGCAGCUCCCCCUCCUCCCCCUCCGCCAGCCUGCCCGCCAUCGGAUAGUAGAAAACCAACGUCUUCUCCAGCGCGCGCUUUAUCGUCUUCGCGGGGUCGCCCCCGCCGUUCUUGAACACGUGCAGCGACUCGAUGAGCGCCCGCUGGGUCGGGUAUCGGUCGAGCCAUGAGAGGCGGAGGCGGCCGGAGGGUGUCGGCCCCGCGGGGGCCACCACCUCCUGGGAGACCCUCUUCACAGCGGUGCUCAUUGAAUAAUAUUGGAGGAGUUCUAAUUAAGUAUUAAUUGAGAGGUUUAAUUUGUAUGUGUGAUAAUUUAGAGGGAGCUAACCAGCUUGGGGGUGGUGAGGGUGGGGGAGGGUUUUUAUAGCUAGGGGUUGGUAAUUAGUUUUGUUAAGCCUUUCUUUUCAGAGUUUAAUGGUGGUUAAUUAAGCACUAAUUAAAUAUUGGUUGGUGGAACGGAGAGAGGUUUGUGGCAUGAUGUAUUAUUAAGUCGCGCUUCGCAGAACGUACAAAUUAAUUAAUCACGCGUGUUAUAUAGUUAAGAGACCAAAUUAACCCGCUAUAUACACAUGUAUAAAUAUAUAAUAAUAUUAUAAGCUCCAUUAAUAUAUAGUUGGGUGUUUGCUGAUUGUAGAUCCAUAUCCAACCAUUGGCUCCUCCCACAAGUAAAAUAUCUUAUAUUUUUUUUAAAAAAAAAUGUUUUGGUAUAAUUAAUUACCAAUGUAUUCAUCUGCAACGUACAAUUUUUCUCUAUCUCUCUCUAUAUAUACUGUUUAGAAAAUCCAGUUCUUUUUGUUUUUGCACAAUUAUGAUCAACAUAUAUAGUUUUUUUUUUUUUUGAGAGAGAAUUGUUUGUAAUCCAAAAACCAAAUUUACUUUACCAACUACUCGAGAAAAAAAAUUCCAGUUAUUAUAGUCAUAGAAAUGGAAUGCAAGUGUGCACGUGCGAGCGCGCCAGCACGUGUGCAUGUGUAUGCAUGUAACGCUAUCUCUUCCCUUUUGUAAUUAAGCUAGCUCAACACUGUAUAUUACACCACAUGAAUGUUCCAUUGGAUGGUAAUGAGUGGAAUACAAUAAAAAAGAGGCCAGGUUCGAAUCCAUUAACCUACAUAAAUUUGUUGUUAAGUGUAGAUUAUCAUCUGAAUCCCUCCGUUCCGCUUUAAUUUGGAAUAACAAAUAAUUAAUUGCUUCAUUGAAACAAAGAGAUAUAUAUAUUGAAUGAACGAAACUUCCACAGUGGUACUGUUGUUAUAUAAGGUUGUGUACGUAUAUAUAUAGUAGCUAAGUAAGUAUAUACGCACAUUACAUCUUUUUUGUAUCAGGUGGUGUAGUAGUUAAUUAUAUCACAUCUCAAUUUAUUAUCUAAUAACUAUAUAUAUAUAUAUAUAUAUAGAGAGAGAGAGAGAGAGAGAGAGAGAGAGCGCUAGACUGGUAUACUAUCGGUAGCACGAAGGCCCCCGUACUAUCAAAUUAUUUUUAAUAUUGCGGUCUCCAAAUCGAUGAUCGGCUCCGUUAGACUUGAUCGACACUAUUAAAAGUAUUUGAAAACUAAAUUUCAUAAUUUUCGACAUCAUUUAUCUAUCAAACGAUUAGUUUAAAAAUAAACGAUUAAAAAUAAAAAUCUCAUAAAAAAUGUUGAAAAAAGGCUUGAAUUUAAGAUCAGAGAUACUGAUCUUACUCUAAAUUCUGAAAAUAUUUUUCUAUAAAAACUUCAUUAAAUUUGGAUUAUUUUUGAACGUUAAAUUUACAAACACAUCAUAUCUAUUAUUAAAAUUGUCAAUUUUGAGACCUUUUGAUUACUAGCCAAUGAUGUCGAAAAAUUAUAAUUAAAAUUUAAUUUUCAAAUACUUUUAAUAAUUUAGAUCAAGUCUAAUGGAACCGACCGUCGAUUUGAAAACCGCAUCAUUGAAAACAAUAAUGUAGAUCAAGUCUAAUAGAACCGACCGUCGAUUUGGAAACUGUAUCAUUGAAAACAACUUGGUAGCGUGAAGGCCUUCGUGCUACCGAUAAUAUACCAAUCUCUCUCUCUCUCUCUCUCUCUCUCUCUCUCUCUCUAUAUAUAUAUAUAUAUAUGGCAUUGCUUUUAUGCUACAGUGUUCUAGCUCUAAUCUUCAUAAAGUGUGCAUCGCCAUCCACAUUAAUGUGAAACUAAUAAUUCCAUAUUGUCGCCGUAUAACCAUCUAGAUCAUCCUCUUAACAAUAAUUGAACGGAUCAAAUUACUCCUCGAACCAUCCUCAUCACGAGGGCCCUCUAUUUGUCUUACGCGCACACAGUGAGACAAAUGCCUCUCUAACAUUCACACCUGUAUAUAUAAGAUCUUUGGAUCAGUUGUUACUGUUGGAGCCAAUCCAUAUAUGGGGCCUUACGAUCGAGCAAAUGAUCGAGGCUCAGCUACUUUAACAGAGAUUUUUAUUUUAUUGCUAAUUAAUAAAAUAUUGGAGAAUUAAGCUUUAGACUAAAGCAAAGCAUAUAUAUAUACAAUAUUAUUAAGCUAAACAUCUAUUCUAUUAAUAGGUGUCAAUUGCUAUUCAACUAUUUGGUUGAAGAAGAGUAAAAUACAUUUCAAUCGAAAUCAAAACGGAUCAUUGGUUCUUCGACCAUUGAACGCGAUUGUUUUGAAGUACUCUAGAGUAAAGUGAAGUUAACCUAUAUCAUCAUAGCAAAAUAUGUCGACGUUCGAACAAAUUUAGAGCAUUUUAGACAUUUCUUACUCAAUUUAAUGAUGUUUAGAUGUGUUCUCAUUGAGGAACAUGUAGAGGGAUAUUCAGAUGACUCGUUUGCUACAUCACCACCACAUCAGUAGAUGUGAUGCAUGUGGAGCAAAUACAGAGUAGGGUUUCUUCGUCGAUCGACUUUGACGUGACAUUGCAACUAAUUGAUUCGUAGAUGCGCCUAGAGCAUAUAAUGGUUCGUUAAUUGAACAAGUAAACAAAUAAAAUUACGCUAACUAAAUUUGUUAAGUAUGUUGGUUACCAUGUCCUUGAUCAAACCAACUCUCUACAUUUCGUUUCCUCUAAGUUUCUAUUGGUUGUUCUGCUAAUUUGGCAUAUGCCCACCAUGCAUCAAAAUUAAUUGUUUAUCACAUGCCAAUAUAUCACUAAUUAAUGUGUAAAUCCUACGUGCACUAAUUAAUAUUUAGAUCUCUCUCUCUCUCUCAUUUUCAGAAAUAUUGUUUCUAAUGGCAGGUGGAUUAUAUAUAUAAAGUACAUCCAAUACUUUCGAAAGUACGGACGCUUUCUUAUUUAUAAGUUGUUUUUGAUGAUUAGACAUCUAAUUUGACGAUCGGCUCUGUUAGGUAUAUAUAAUUUACGCUAUUGAAAUUAUUUCGAAACCAAAUUUUAUAAUUUUUCGAUAUCAUUUACCAAGUGAUCAAAAAGUCUAAAAAAUGACCAUUUUAACGGUUGAUAUGUCAUGUUUAAGUUCAACGGUAUAGAACAAUCCAAAUUAUAUGAAAUUUUAAUAAAAAAAUCUAUUUAAUAUAAAUAGCAAGAACAAUACUUCUGAUUUAAAAUUUGAGUUUUUUAAUAUUGCUUUUUAUGAUAUUUUUAUUUUUAGCCGUUCAUUUUGAGAUUACUUGUUCACUAGACAAAUAAAGUUAAAAAAUUAUAAAAUUUAAUUUAUAGAUAGUUCCAAUAGCGUAGAUCAUGUCUAACAAAUUUGAUCGCUGAACCAGAGCCCUCCGUACUUUUGAAAGUUUUGCAACCAUAUAUAUAUAUAUAUAUAUAUAGAGAGAGAGAGAGAGAGAGAGAGAGAGAGAGAGAGAGAGAGAGAGAGAGAGAGAGAGAGAGAGAGACUCCUAUAAUAUUUAUAGUAUUGGGGCUCCGGUACUAUUAUCUUAUUUGCGAUUUUAGAGUGUUCAAAUCAACGAUUCACAUAUUUAAAAUUAAUUUAGGAUAUCUGAAGUCUUUAAAAAUAAAAUUUUAUAACCAGUUGGAAUUUAUGUUUAAGCAUGUAGAUGAACAAUAUCUCCCGAACACUGCUAUGUGGCUUAUCUCAAAGAAAAAGAAAAAGAAAACACUGUUAUGUGGCCCUUCGUUACAGAUAACUAAAUAAACUUGUCGCCAAGUUAAUUAUUCCAAAAGAUCUUACCUUUCAUUGAUGUAUCAAACUUUUGUCUCUAACCUGAAUAUAGUGCUCACAAAAUGCUUGCAAAACCGACCGUCCCUAGAGCAAGUGGCAAAAGGCUUGGUGGUUGCUAUCUAUCUCUCAAAAAACAAAAAAAAACAAAAAAAAAAAGCUUACAUAAGGACUAUUUAUGAAUAAAGCAUAUUCUAGAAGUCAAUUAAUGAGGUGUACAUAUAUAUCAUGGACAAAAAUUUUGUGGGCACCAUCCCUAAACUAAUAGUUUGGGGACUGUGCGGAUGGGCGCCAUGCAUAUGGCCGAUUUGACGGAUGCCGUUCUCUGCUAUUCUCUCACUCUCUCUAAAAAUACAGGGAUUUUUUGUUUCUUCCUUUCCAUCGGUGGCUGUCGGAUGGGCCACAUGGCACCAUCCGCAUGGUCCCCAAACCAAUUAGUUUGGGGAUCGUGCCCAUAAAAUUUGUGUCCAUAUAUCACCACAUUUUCAUGCAUUAAUUACAACUCAAUCAGUAGAGUAAUGUUUCCAUAAUAGAGUCUUUAUUUUAUUGAUUAUUCUACAAUUCUUUAAUCUCGUGAAAAAUGCAAUGGGCAAAAUAGAAUUUGCAGUAUUAAUUUAAAAACAAUGAGUUAAUAAGAAAAAUUAGAAAGAUAUAUAUAAGUCUUAUGUAGAAAGAAAAUUUAAAUAUUUGAUAAACUCAAAUGGAGAUCCAAGUAAAAGGAUUUCUUUUUUCAAAAUUUUGGCUUCUCUAAUUAGUUAUUUGUUAUGAUUUUAUACAUUCGAUCAUUUAUUUCAAUGCGCUUUCUAAAAAUUGAAUGUGCUAUAUCUUUACCGGAUCUGAAAUAUUAAGUGACUCUCACUAUCUUUUUUCUUUUUUUUUUGUGAGAGAUAGGUUGUAUGCUACCCGCUUCGUGUAUUUCAUUUAAAAAUAAACUUAGCUAGAAAUGUGAACUAAUUAGGAUUCGAACUUAGGACUCUCACUUUCUGUGCCGUUGUACUUACAUAUGUAUAUAUAUCAAAAACCUAAUACCACAUAUAAAAAGACACAGAUUCUCAUGGCUUAAAUAUAUGAAGGUUAUCUUGGUCACCAAUGAGCUCCAAACUCCAAAAUUAUUUAUAACUACUAAAUUAAUAUAUACGUGAUCGAAUGUAUAAAUGUAAAUGUACAUGGAGAUAUAUGGAGAGAGGAACUAGCUUUUUUGCUGUGAAGUUGUUCUAUAAAAAGAACCGAUCAAAAACAUGCAUGGGACCAGUUGCAUCCACUUUUUAUCACCACAAAACUUGUUUUCGACGUGUAAAUAAUCCUCAAGAUUAAGCCUCACAUUCGAUUUUAUCAAACUUAUGAACAUUAAUAUACAUUAAUAUAAUUCAAUAUUUUUCGGUCACGCCAAGUAAUGAACGAUCAACUUGCCACAUUUGCUCGAUCAAUAAAUAUAGACAUGUAAGUCUUCGACGUUAAGUUAGUCUCUGCCAUCUAUUAAUGGCUGUGAUAAACUGAUCAUCGAAAAUAAAAUUUGUGAUUUGAAUCGAAGUAGAAUUUGGUGAUCAUAUUAAUGCUUGCAUUACAAAAAAAAAAAAAAACACACACACACAAUACUUGUGGGAUACAUACUCAGUCUUGUAGAAUUUGUGUUCACAUUUUUUGUCAUAAUGCGACACUAUGAAAUCCUCCCUAACCUUGCCGCAACUGUAGAAUUAUUUGUGUUCUUAAAUUUCUUUUCUUUGUUUUCUUUUAAUUGAUCAUGGUCAAUUCAGCUUCUCGCGAAACUACGCCGUUGAUUGCUUUCGGAUUGAUGGACUCACUCAGCCAUUAAAACAGGUUCACACAUUUUGAUGUUGUCAAUUUGAUGUUGUCAAUAUAGACACUAACUACAACUGUCCAAUUUUUAGAUUUCACUCACUUUCACUCAGUUUUCUUCUUCUAGUUUUUGUUGAUUUUUGGAAAGGAAAAAUUGUUCAAAGUCAAAAGUAUUUACAGUUGAUUUAGAUGAAUCCAUUCGAGUCUACAUCUAUCAUUUAUAAUUCCUACCUACCAAAGAGACUUAGUGAUGUCCAUGUUUGGCUUGUCUCUCUAUUUUCCUUAUUAAUUCCAUCCCUUUUUCUCCAUUAAUUUGCUUGAUAUAUAUUGAUUGAUGGAAGAACCAUGUUUGCUGAGAACCAACCACUUCAGCAAUAAUUAUUUAGCUUUGUUGGUUACUUUUCCUCCAACAAAAGAAAAAUUGAUGGUAAAUGUAACUUUCAGAGAUUUAAAUUUGAGUAUAUAUAUAUAUAUAUAUAAACGUAUUUGAUAGUGAUAUUCUUAGUAAUUGUACGUAAAUAGUCGUAGCCUGAUUACUCUCCAUUUGACGCUUAAAACUUGAUCAGUGGCCUGAAAAAAAUAUAAAAAUAUACAUACAUGCAUGAUUGAAUAUAGUGCAUUUUGAGAUGAAUGUGUGAAUUUUGAUGCUUUGAAUUCAGCAUCUAAUAUUUUCUUCUUCCUCUUUUUGUAAUUUUUAUAUAUAUAUAUAUAUAUAUAUAUAUAUAUAUAUAUAUAUAUAUAUAUUAUUAAGAAAAGUUACACGCAUCGAUGAUUAAGUUUGGGCCAAGAGACCGACCGUCCCUAGAGCAAGUGGCAAAGGACUUGGCGGUUGGUACCCGAGACCCAAGUUCGAAUCCUAGUUGAUUCACAUUUUCAGCUAAGUUUUUUUCUAAAUGAAAUAAACGAAGCGGUUAGCGUGCUACCUAUCUCUCAAAAAAAAAAAAGUUUGGGCCAAGAGAUUUUGAGGAUUCCUCCAGAAUCUAGGCACUGUUGAAAAAUUUCUGCCCAAAGAUUAAUUAAACUAAAAAAAUAUAAAAAUAAAAACCAAUUGAGUAAAGAGAAGUUAGAGUACACUUGCUACUUUUGGCAUUGAAGGUGAAAAGCACCAUAAUGGUGAGGUUAUUCUUAUCAUUAAUUUAGUGUGAUAAAUUAACCAUUUGUGAUUAGGAGCUUCAAGAUAAGAUUGCUUUGCUUAAUUAUAUAAUUAAUCUUUUUAAGGUAUAACUAAGUUGAUGGGAUUCCUUUUUCGAUCUGUUUUGGGUUAAUAUUCUGAAGAGUAUAGGAAUCAUGCUUUUCUAAGAUGGCUCGAUUGACUCAAUCUGGACAUAUAGUAGAAAAAGAAAAAAAGUGAGUCAGGCACAUAUAGUGUAUCACUUUAUGUUACAUAUUCAAAGCUAGUUAGGUCUAAACCAAUGGUCUUAGGCAAUAUCAAUCCACAGCUACCACAGUAGAAAAAUGUACACGUAUUAAGCUCCACAGGCCCCAAAAAGUCUCCUAUGCGACACUUAUAUUAAAUUAUUGAUAACCAGUCAAUCAUAUUUUUUUAUUAGAGAAAAAAUUAUAAUAAUAGUAUUUUUUUAAUAAUCAUAAUAUAACGAGUGAAUCCACGAGCAAUAAUUUGAUUGGCUGGGAACACCACAUCAGAAAAGAAAAGUAUAUCUAAAUUAAUAUUUGCUUAUAAAUAUUUUUAUUUUAUGAAUCUAUGGGCAGCUAAAAUUAAAAGUAGAGAAGUGUAUCUGUAUAUUACCUUGUUCUAUUUUUUUGAACAAAACCAGAAAAACAAAAGUUGGUCGAGUAAAUUUCUCUCGCUCACGACCGAUCUCUCUCUGUUGAAACUUAAAUUGUCUGUCUAGUUUGAUAUCCAAAAUUAUAUUUAUAUUGUGAAAAAUAAUAUUUAUAUUGUACACAAAGUUGUUAAUGCAAAAUUAUUUAUAGUUUUUCAAAUAACAAAAUGGUAUGAUUCUCAUUUAACAAAAUUGUAUGAGGGAUUAAUCACCCUGCGACGUCUUACAGUCAAAAGAAAAAAAAGAAAAAAGAAAAGCUGAUACUAGCACACCGGUCAAAUGUGGGCCCACCUAAUUAGGAAUCCUCCAAUUAGUUAAAUAAGAAAUUAAUAAAAUUUUUUAAAGAUAGAUAGUAUGUUAUUCGUUUUAUUUAUUUUAUUUAAAAAUAAAUUUAGUUAGAAAUAUGAAUCAAUUAGAAUUCGAAAUUUGGAUCUUGAGUACCAACCAUCAAAUUCUUUACCACUUGCGCCAGGGACGGUCGGUAGGUAAGAAACUUGAACAUGGAAAAGAAUAAUACAUGCAAAGCAAAAAUAAAAUUUAAAAAAGAAGAAAAAGAAGAAGAAGAUAAGAAGAAUCAUAAGAAGCAUCAUUCCUUGAACAGUUAAGCAUCAGCUCCAAUCAUACACGAUUCACGUGUUCAUCGUUUUAUUCUUUUAAAUGUACGCGUUCAUUAAAUCUCAAAACAUUUUUUUUUUUAAUUGAAAAGGGAAAAUCGGGCUCCAAAGAUUCCUUUGUGUCAUUGUGUGUGUUUGUGUCUGUGUGUGUCUUUGUUAUCUAAAUAGCACCAAAGGGACCAGUGGAAAAUGACUUGUCCACCUACAUGGAAACUUUAAGUAUAAGUUUUGCCAAAAACCACAAAUUAAAACACCACAAUUAACCCACUUGUUAAUUUGGAGUCCACGUCUCGGUGGGUAGUAGCUAGUGGCUAUGGGCCAUGAAUUAAGUAGGUGGUUCUCUAAUUACUUUCCUAAUUAAACUCAAUUAUCCCCAUAUCUGGUUGGAAUCUGACUCGACCUAUGAUAGAUCCUAACUAGAAUUAUAAAAAUACAUAUCAUUAAGAAUUUGGAUCUAGCUUUUAGACUUAGAUGUUACAUUUAUUAGAAACACAAUUCAAUAUUUUCGGUUUUGAUCAGUUUCAAAGCCAACUGGUGGGUACCAUGCUGGUUGGUAUAAGUGUGACCAUUGAUUAUUUCGUCCACACUAGUUAAAAUAUAAUACCUAAAAAAUACAAGAGAGAGAGAGAGAGAGAGAGUCAUUUUAAUCACAAAGAACUAUGAGAUCGAUCGAGCAAGCAUAAAGUAUAAUUGAACUAUGUGUACAAUUUUGUUUCUAGUGCUUUUGAAUCGUAGCAGUGCUGAAAUUUGACCUAAUUAGUUAAAGAGACUUUAGGUGCAUGCUAGGGAGAGUGACACAUUAAUUGCGUGCUACUUUUUGCCAUUUGAAUUAUAUGUCCCAAAUGUAAACUUAGAAGGACGACUUUUCAUAUUCUAAUAAUCAUAGCAUUUGCAUUAAUUCCAGAACUUUGAUAGUUGGUACCUGAUAUUCCAAAUUUGAAAUCUAAUUGCUUUAUAUUUUUAAUUAAAUUUAUUUUUUUAAAAAUGAACAAAGCUGUAACAUUCUACAAUUCUCUAUAAUAAUAAUAUAUAACAAUAAUAAUAAUAAUAGUAGCAUUGGCCAAUGAAACCUACUCCUGGUGUAGUGGCUUGGGCUCAUAUCAAACAUUGUUAAGCUCUUUUAGCUAGCGUUGCUUUACGUGAAGGAAACAACUUUCUCAGUGGUGGGUUGCCUAAUAAAAAAAUUCCAAGUGUGCCCUUUUUCAUUUUUAUUUCAAGUUUAUAAUUAUUAUCUUCUAAAUCACAAAGUUUUUUAAUGAUGAAAUAGCAAAGCAAACUUUUUUAACAAGGUGGUGGUUUUCGGAUAAAACUUGUGCGCGCAUCAUCAAAAGCUUUAAAAUGUUGAAAGCAUGAUUUAAGAGAGAAAUAUAAUAGAUAAGUAAUAAGGCGCGAUCAAUCACAUUAAUUUUAACAAAUUAGUAUGAAUAGAUAAUUAACUAGGCCACAAUUAUAUCAUCAAACUUUGGGUACACUUGACUUGUCAUUCUCACAAGCGUGAUAUAUAUAUAUUUCGACACUAAGCAAUGCAAGUGCUAAAUCUAUUCUAAAAUGCAUGCAGUUCUUAGAUGUAUAUCUUAAAAUCAAACUCCUCAUUUUCAUGUACAAUGCAUUAAUUCUAAAUUAAGUAUGUACUUAAUGUUAAGUCACGCUCACGCAUUACGGGCUUCAACCUUAAAAUAAAGGAAAAAAAUUAUUGAAGCACACAUAGGAAUGAAUUGCCAUGAUAUAUAUAUAAUUUAGCUGAAAAGAGAAGAAAUAUAUGUGAUCUAUGGUUCUUAGAUUUGAAUGACAUCCAUAAUAUCUUCAAUCGUGCAAAUAAAGUAAUCAAAGUACCCUAAGUGAUCACUUCAUUUUUCACUUUCCAAAUGGAUGAAGAUAAGGUUCAAUUUUCACCACCUUGUUAAAAAAAUGGGGAAAGUAUGCGAAACACUUUUUUAAUCAAACAAGUGAAGACACAUUAUGGUAGCAAAACCACCCAAUUAUUAAAAGAGCAAGUUCUUAUCGCUCGUCUUAUGCCUCGACAAGUCGCGUUAAGUUGACGCAAAUGUUACUUUCGACCAAAUUUGCACAAAUCCAUUGAAAAGACAAUCAGUAAGAAAAGCAAUUCAUCCGUCCACAUUUGGAGUAAACAACAUGAAGAAACUUAGAUAAGAAUUGAUGAUGACAAAUUCAAUGAGUUGAGAAAUUAACUAGUUUUUAGGUGACUACAUUUAGUCCACGUAGCUAAGAGUCGAAUAAAGUAAAAAAGGUUACAAAAGAUUAGGCAAGGAUUAGUACUUCUCCUGUAAUGGAUGCAUUCGAUUUAAUCAAUGAGAGUCCUUCAGAUGUGACACUAAAGUAUUAUUUGCAAAAUUUACUUUUUUGUGCCACAAUAGGAGUUUGUAUGGAAAAUAAAAAGAAUAUGUGGUACGCAUUCAUGUUUAAGUAUACAAGAACAAGCACAUGCAGCGCAAUUCUAUUUCUUCUCCAAUGUAUUAACAUAGAAAGAGAGGAUAUAAGGUUAUGAUUUUGUAAAGUACUAGAUGCUUUUCCUUGGCUUAAUUAAUUUGCUUUACAUGCCCAAUUAUGAUUUUGCAUGUGAAGUAGAAGUUUUUCCUUGGCUUAAUUUGCUUUACAUCUCCAUCUUUCGAAGCCCCAUUCAACAUGAACGCUAAUAUUAUUCUAAUUGUGAAAAAAAUGACAACUUACUAUCGUCUCGUUCUAUUUUCUUUUAGAAAUAAAUUUAUAAUUAGCUGAAAAUGUAAAACAACUAGAUUUUGAAUUUGAAAUUUGGAAUAUUAAUCAUCAAGUUCUUCAUCAUCUCUACUAAGAAUAGCCGAUAACCCCGUUCUAAUUGUGAUUUAAUACUUCCAAUUGCUUAGAAAAUAAGAAUUUAUUUGAAUCGAUUGGAGUUUUACAAAACUGUUGUGGGAGUAGUGCAUUAUGAAGUAACAGUGGAAACUAUUUUAUAAAAUACUUUUGGUUUUAUAAAGAAGUAUAUUUUACAACUGUAAAUGAUUGGAUAUAUGAUGGGCUUUGGGCUGAGGCCCACAUAUUUUGAGGUACAACUGAUAGUUGGAAAGUGCACAUAUAAUGUUGUGGAAAAUAUUAAUUGACAGUGUACGUUUUCUUGUUUAUUUAAAAAAUGUAUAUAUGUGCUUCAGUAUUUUUAAAAGUAUAGAAAUUUAAUAUACUCAUAAUUUUUUUAGCCAUUGAAUCACCUCAAGAUUCAUAUAGUAUUAAUAAAUAAGUCUUAAUGGGACAUACCGUUAAUAAUACUAUAUGGAUCUUGAGAAGAUUCAUCAGCUAAGAUAUUAUAAGGACAAAUAUUCAUAUGCUUUUAAAAGAACGGGAGCUCAACUCUCUCUCUAUAUAUUGAUCUUUUAAGAGGAUUGAGUUUACCCAUUGUGUUUAAUACAGUUGACUAAGCUCUUAAUUAUUGAUACUUAUUGAUACUUGAGCUUCUAAAUUCAAAACCUCAUUGUUUUAUAUUUCUAAUUGAGAUUAUUUUUUAAAAAAAUAAACAAAAUAAUAGAUAUAUAGUUUGUCACAAUUCUGUUAAAAAAAAAGCACCUUAUUUAAUUGUUAUCCUUAAAUUAAUUCCAUGUGCCCGCAUAAUUAGUUGGAGAGGAAAAAGAAGUGGCAAAGAAUCUCUUUACCAUCUAGUUGUACAGUGACAUUAAUUAUGCGUGACGUUUCACAUCAAUAAAAACCAAAACUUGGUUAUAAAUCGCUCUCACAUAAUUUCCACACCAAAAAACACACAUUUUCGUAUGGUAUUUCCCCAAACUUGUUACAUUUUCAUCUCAUUAUUCCUAUGUUCUAUCAAAUAAGAGAAUAAGUAUGAUUAAUAUAUUCUUGUCGCAUAGUUAAGUUCCAUGUCUUUUAUGUCUGCAUCAAAAUAUGAAGCUACAGCAAAACAAGGAACAAAUGAAUAAGAUAACCUAACAACUCUUUUGCUUUGUCCUCACCUUUCAUCGUUGUAGGGCCUCUCAAUGCAAUAUAUCUAUGUCCCUUUAUGAGGACAAUAUUUGGGGAACCAUAACUAAUUGGUCCACACCCAACUUAGUUGUUCCUGAUCGAAGGAAAACCUUGCAUAGAUCUAUGGCACUUUUUCAAUAAAAAAAAGAAGAAGAUAAUGUACGUAUUUCCUCAAACUUUUGGCAUGCUUGCAACUUAGAUGCCAAACUUCUAAAAUUUUUUUUAAAAAAGGACUUGUGUACUAUUAGAAGCACAGAAGCCUCCGUGCUUUUAAAUCGUUUUCAAUAAUGUGACUUUCGAAUCGAUGAUCGGCUCCGUUAGACUUAAUCUGAUGUCUUUGAAGAAUUUAGAAAAUAUUUUUUGCAGAUUUUCAAUAGUAUUCAUGUAGUGAUUGAAAGGAUUCAAAAUUAAUAAUUUUUAAUAUUUGAUGUAUGCCGUUUACUAGUUUAAUAGUAUAGAAGUAUUCAAAUCAGAUAAAAUUUUGAUAGAAAAAUUUUUUUACUAUCUACAACAAGAUCAAUAUUUCUGAUAAAAAAUUUUAAUGCUACAUUAUAAUUUUUUAUAAGAUUUUUGUUUUUAACCAUUGAUUUUGAGUUUUUUCGAUCAUUAUGUAAGUGAUAUCGAAAAAUCGUCAAAUUUAUUUUCUAGAUUGUUUAAAUAUGUAAAAUCAAGUCUAAUAAAGCUGAUUGUCGAUUCGGAAGUCAAAUCAUUAAAAACGACUUAGGAGAACGAAGGCUUCCAUUCUUCUAAUAGUAUACAAGGCCUUCUCUCUCUCUCUCUCUCUCUCUCUAUAUAUAUAUAUAUAUAUUAGGCUGUUUUGCUUUCGAAAGUACAGAUUUCGUACUUGUAAAUUAUUUACAAUCAUGAAAAAACCAAUUUGGCGAUCAAGAUUUUAGUCGGUCGUUGGAUCAACUCUAAGUUUUAUUAACUUUCCAAAGUAAUUCAUUAUUCUAUGAAAGCUAGAUACGUUAAAUAUUUUUAAAAUUAUUUUAAAGAAUAAGCAUAAACUUUAUUAACUUUAUUAAAGAAUAACCAAUUUGUAACUUUAUUAACUUUAUUUUAAAGAACAAUGCAAUAGUCCCAUAGUUCAAUUACCGUUCUUCCUAAGUCCACUCACCAACCAUGUACUCUUUCACAUGCCUAACAUUUAAAAAAAUUUGUAUNUUUUUAAUCAAACAAGUGAAGACACAUUAUGGUAGCAAAAACACCCAAUUAUUAAAAGAGCAAGUUCUUAUCGCUCGUCUUAUGCCUCGACAAGUCGCGUUAAGUUGACGCAAAUGUUACUUUCGACCAAAUUUGCACAAAUCCAUUGAAAAGACAAUCAGUAAGAAAAGCAAUUCAUCCGUCCACAUUUGGAGUAAACAACAUGAAGAAACUUAGAUAAGAAUUGAUGAUGACAAAUUCAAUGAGUUGAGAAAUUAACUAGUUUUUAGGUGACUACAUUUAGUCCACGUAGCUAAGAGUCGAAUAAAGUAAAAAAGGUUACAAAAGAUUAGGCAAGGAUUAGUACUUUUCCUGUAGUGGAUGCAUUCGAUUUAAUCAAUGAGAGUCCUUCAGAUGUGACACUAAAGUAUUAUUUGCAAAAUUUACUUUUUUGUGCCACAAUAGGAGUUUGUAUGGAAAGUAAAAAGAAUAUGUGGUACGCAUUCAUGUUUAAGUAUACAAGAACAAGCACAUGCAGCGCAAUUCUAUUUCUUCUCCAAUGUAUUAACAUAGAAAGAGAGGAUGGUUAUGAUUUUGUAAAGUACUAGAUGCUUUUCCUUGGCUUAGUUUGCUUUACAUGCCCAAUUAUGAUUUUGCAUGUGAAGUAGAAGUUUUUCCUUGGCUUAAUUUGCUUUACAUCUCCAUGUUUCGAAGCCCCAUUCAACAUGAACGCAAAUAUUAUUCUAAUUGUGAAAAAAUGACAACUUACUAUCGUCUCGUUCUUUUUUUUUUUAAAAAAAAUAAAUUUAUAAUUAGUUGAAAAUGUAAAGCAACUAGAUUUUGAAUUUGAAAUUUUGAAUAUUAAUCAUCAAGUUCUUCAUAAUCUCUACUAAGAAUAGCCGAUAACCCUGUUCUAAUUGUGAUUUAAUACUUCCUAUUGCUUAGAAAAUAAGAAUUUAUUUGAAUCGAUUGGAGUUUUACAGAACUGUUGUGAGAGUAGUGCAUUAUGAAGUAACAGAGGAAACUAUUUUAUAAAAUACUUUUGGUUUUAUAAAGAAGGAUAUUUUACAACUGUAAAUGAUUGGAUAUAUGAUGGGCUUUGGGCUGAGGCCCACAUAUUUUUAGGUAAAACUGAUAGUUGGAAAGUGCACAUAUAAUGUUGUGGAAAAUAUUAAUUGACAGUGUACGUUUUCUUGUUUAUUUAAAAAAUGUAUAUAUAUGUUCUUCUGUAUUUUUAAAAGUAUAGAAACUUAAUAUAUUCAUAAUUUUUUUAGCCAUCGAAUCCCUUCAAGAUUCAUAUAGUAUUAAUAAAUAAGUCUUAAUGGGACAUACCGUUAACAAUGCUAUAUGGAUCUUGAGAAGAUUCAUCAACUAAGAUAUUAUAAGGACAAAUGUUCAUGUGCUCUUAAAAGAACGGGAGCUCAACUCUCUCUCUAUAUAUUGAUCUUUUAAGAGGAUUGAGUACACCCACUGUGUUUAACACAGUUGACUAAGCUCUUAACUGUUGAUACUUGAGCUUCUAAAUUCGAAGCUUGAUUAUUUUAUAUUUCUAAUUGAGAUUAUUUUUUAAAAAAAUAAACAAAAUAAUAGAUAUAUAGUUUGUCACAAUUCUGUUAAAAAAAAAAGCACCUUAUUUAAUUGUUAUCCUUAAAUUAAUUCCAUGUGCCCGCAUAAUUAGUUGGAGAGCAAAAUGAAGUGGCAAAGAAUCUCUUUACCAUCUAGUUGUACAGUGACAUUAAUUAUGCGUGACGUUUCACAUCAAUAAAAACCAAAACUUGGUUAUAAAUCGCUCUCACGUAAUUUCCACACCAAAAAACACACAUUUUCGUAUGGUAUUUCCCCAAACUUGUUACAUUUUCAUCUCAUUAUUCCUAUGUUCUAUCAAAUAAGAGAAUAAGUAUGAUUAAUAUAUUAUUGUCGCAUAGUUAAGUUCCAUGUCUUUUAUGUCUGCAUCAAAAUAUGAAGCUACAGCAAAACAAGGAACGAAUGAAUAAGAUAACCUAACAAUUCUUUUGCUUUGUCCUCACCUUUCAUCGUUGUAGGGCCUCUCAAUGCAAUAUAUCUAUGUCCUUUUAUGAGGACAAUAUUUGGGGAACCAUAACUAAUUGGUCCACACCCAACAUAGUUGUUCCUGAAGGAAAACCUUGCAUAGAUCUAUGGCACUUUUUCAAUAAAAAAAAGAGAAGAAGAUAAUGUACGUAUUUCCUCAAACUUUUGGCAUGCUUGCAACUUAGAUGCCAAACUUCUAAAUUUUUUUUUAAAAAAGGACUUGUGUACUAUUAGAAGCACAGAAGCCUCCGUGCUUUUAAAUCGUUUUCGAUAAUGUGACUUUCGAAUCGAUGAUCGGCUCCGUUAGACUUAAUCUGACGUCUUUGAAGAAUUUAGAAAAUAAUUUUUGCAGAUUUUCGAUAUUAUUCAUCUAGUGAUUGAAAGAAUUCAAAAUCAAUAAUUUUUAAUAUUUGAUGUAUGCCGUUUACUAGUUUAACGGUAUAGAAGUGUUCAAAUCAGAUAAAAUUUUGAUAGAAAGAUUUUUUUACUAUCUACAACAAAUCAAUAUCUCUGAUGAAAAAUUUUAAUGCUACAUUAUAAUUUUUUAUAAAAUUUUUGUUUUUAACCAUUGAUUUUGAGUUUUUCUGAUCAUUAUGUAAGUGAUAUCGAAAAAUCGUCAAAUUUAUUUUCUAGAUUGUUUAAAUAUGUAAAAUCAAGUCUAAUAGAGCUGAUUGCCGAUUCGGAAGUCAAAUCAUUAAAAACGACUUACGAGAACAAAGGCUUCCAUUCUUCUAAUAGUAUACAAGGCCUUCUCUCUCUCUCUCUCUCUCUCUCUAUAUAUAUAUAUUAGACUGUUUUGCUUUCGAAAGUACAGAGAUUUCGUACUUGUAAAUUAUUUACAAUCAUGAAAAAACCAAUUUGGCGAUCAAGAUUUUAGUCGGUCGUUGGAUCAACUCUAAGUUUUAUUAACUUUCCAAAGUAAUUCAUUAUUCUAUGAAAGCUAGAUACGUUAAAUAUUUUUAAAAUUAUUUUAAAGAAUAAGCAUAAACUUUAUUAACUUUGUAAAUUUCAAAAAAAAUAUUUGGUUGAGUUCUCUAAUUUUUUUUUGGUUGAGUUCUCUAAAGAACAAUGCAAUAGUCCCAUAGUUCAAUUACCGUUCUUCCUAAGUCCACUCACCAACCAUGUACUCUUUCACAUGCCUAACAUUUAAAAAAAUUUGUAUAUUUGUAUACUAUAUAUAUAUAAUAUAAGUUACUACCUCAAUAAUUAACUACGCUCGAAUCAUGUUCGCUUCACAUGCCUCUUCUUCCACAAAUACAAUUCCCCAUACCAAACUUCCCCACUAAAUAUGUUGACCUCGUGGCCUCUCUAAGCAAGACGCAUUUAAGACUUUUCUACUUUAAUAAGUUUGUAAUUAACUCUUCUUGUAUUUCCACUAGAAAAUACUAUAUGUAUAUUCAUAUAUUGGAAAAUUUUUUUAGUUUUUAAUAUUAAAAAAACAAUAGUUCUUAAAUAUAUUUGUAUGUAAAUUUAAUGCCUCGUUCGAGCGUAUACUAAAUAAAUUGAUAAAAAUAAACGAAAUAUUCAGAAUUUUAAUGAAAGUACUAUUAAUUGACUCGAAUCAAAUAAAUUAAGAGAUUGAAUAAUAAAAUUAAAAUUUUAAAAAGAUAUAUAGUCGACUAAAAAUAGUUUAUAGUUCAAAUAAAUUAUUUAAAAUUUUAUCAUAAUUAAACUGGCAAUGUUAGCCCUAUAAUUCUCCAAAGUUGUAAUCUUACAACUUCAAUUAUCUAAGGGCCAUGUUUUUUUAACUUAUCUUGUCCAAUUUUUUUAACUAAAAGGUUUUUAAAAGUGGCCACAUCAUCACGCACCGACUCCUUCCAUGUACUACCAUAUGAAUUACUACGUUGCUAAUCAUAGUUUUUUAAAGAAAAAAAUAAAAUAAAAUUUAUAUUUUUAAAAAAAUUUUAAAAAAUAGUCUGAUCCAUUAAAGUCACCACAUUAGCAAUGUAAUUUAUAUUCAAUGCCUUUUUUUUCCUAUAAUAAUAAUAAUAAUAAUAAUAAUAAUAUUAUUAUUAUUAUUAUUAUUAUGACUAGAGCUAUUAUACUCUUAUGAGUAUAGAGCCUUUCAUACUCAUGAGUUAUUUUCAAUGAUUGAACUUCCAAAUCGACGAUCCACUCCGUUAAAUAUGAUUUAGAGUAUUUAAAAUUUUUAAAAAAUAAAAUUCGUAAUUUUUUAAAAUUAUAAAAAAAUUCAUCAAGUAGAUAUAGAAUGAACGGUCAAAAUCGAACAAUGUCUUAAAAAUGGAUGAUCGGAUCCUUCAAUUUAAGAUCAGAGUUAUUGAUCUUUAUCUAUAUAGUGAAUAUAAUUUUCUAUCAAAAAUUUAACCAAUUUCGAUUCUUUUACGCCGUUAAACUAACAAAUAUGUUAUACGGGCCGUUAAAAAUUAUCAAUUUUGUGACCUUUCGAUCGUAAGGUAAAUGAUGUUGAAAAAUUAUAAAAUUUGAUUUCUAGACGUUUUAAAUAUUCUAGAUAACGUUUAACGGUGUGGAUCGUUGAUUCGAAAGCUCUAUCCUCAAACACAACUUAUGAAUACGAGGGUGAUUUUAGUCGUUAGAGUAUAGUAGCUGGACUCUAUUAUUAUUAUUAAAAUAUGUGGGCCCCACAAAACAGCAUAUUUUGGACACACAUGUAGGCCCUCGACCGAGUCACCGACGUGGUUACAAUACCAUUCCUCUUCGUCUUCUUCGUCUUCUUCAAUGCUCGUCUCAACCUUUUAAAGAGAAACCCCAGAAGAAGAGGGACUACGCUCCCAAAACCCCGUCCCCCAAAACCGCGUCCCCCAAAACCCCGUUUCCACCACCGCCACCGCCGCCGCCGCCGCCGCGAUGGGUUUCACGGUGACGAAGAUCUCGGAGGAGCGGGUCCGACCGGCCGGUCCGACCCCGAGCGGUUCGCUCCCGCUGGCGUGGGUCGACCGGUACCCGACCCACCGGGGCCUGGUGGAGUCGAUGCACAUCUUCACCAAGGCCACCGAACCGGCCCGGGUCAUCAAGGAAGCCCUCGCCAAGGCCCUCGUUUUCUACUACCCCCUCGCCGGUCGAAUCGUCGAACCGGUUCAGGGCGAACCGGCCAUCGAUUGCACGGCCGAUGGGGUCUAUUUUGUCGAGGCCGAGGCGAAUUGUAGCUUGGAGGAGGUGAAUUACUUGGAGAGGCCCCUCAUGCUCUCCAAAGAUGAGCUCGUCCCCUACCCUAGCAAAGAGGAUUGGGAGAUCGAACCCGCGAAUACGAUUAUGAUGAUGCAGGUGCGUUUGUAUGUAUAAAUUUUGUUCUACGUUUAACUUUAAUUCAUCGGUUUCAAAUUUUUUUUUAUUUUUUAUUUUUAACUUUUGGUUUGGGUUUUGUUUACUCUAUGAAUUUAGUCUCUUGAGUUUGAUUUGGAGUUGAUUUUUGUCGUAUAUAGUAAGUGUUUUAGUUUUAACGAUUUAGUGAAAUUUUGAUUAUAAUUUCAUCCUCAUCGUCGCCCUUAGGAUUUUAGAUUCGAAAAAAGAAAAGUAUUAUACAGCUUAAAUUUUAAGGAUCAAAUUGCUACAAUUAAAAUUACGAUGACUAAUUUGAAAUUAUUUCUGAAUUUCAAGGACUAGAUUAAAAUUAUGUGUAGAGUCAGAACCUAUGGAGAAUUGAAUUUUUGUGUUUAUUUUUUUUUUUAAAAAGUCCUUAUAUUUAUCUAUUUUUUUUUAAAAAAAAGUUCUUAUAUUUAUCUAAUUAUAAUGAGCAAACAAAGCUAUUUAUGAUUUGGUCCACCAAGUGUUAUUAUGUGCAUUGUUUGAAUAUUGGUUGAAUUAGUCGUUAGUGCUAAUUUAAUCAUACAUGUGGUUGGUGUUCCUUCUAGAAACUUUUAGCUGGCAUGUAAAGUAGAAGUAAUUCUCCUCAAUAAAUAAACGGUUAAUAAGUGAAAUGUUUGACUCUCAAUAUUAUGUUUUUAGAAUUUUACAUUGUAGUUUAUUGAAUUCUACCCAGUUGCUUUAUUAGUUCGUUUGGGAGAUCUGAAAUUAGACCCAGCUGAGUCAGACCUCCAUAAAUGCAUGAGUUCCAAGUCAAAUAGCUUCAAAUAGCUACCAUUAAAAAUAUUUUUUUUACAUUUAAAGUUCUUUCAGAAUAUCUUUAUAGUUAUAUUUUGUUAAUAAAUUAUUAGAAACAAUCUUUAUUUCUGUAAAAUUAUUAUUUUAUUUUUUAAAAUAUAUUUUAUUAUUAUUAUUAAUUUUUUUAAUUUAUCCUAAGUCAGGGACAUAAAAAAUAUUUUAACUUUUUAUUCUUUCAAAUAUUUUAUCCUUAAGCAGAGACAAAAUAGGUAUUUUGACUUUUUUAAUUUUGAUAUAAAUUUAACUAUAGGUUUAACUCGAAAUGACUUAACGGAUACUAACAAUAAGAUUUUUUUUAAAUAAUAAAAAAAAUAUACAAUAAGUAUAUUUAAAAUAAAAAUAUAAAUAUAAAUUAGAUAUUUUGAAAAUUAUGAAAAAUUUAUUGAUAAUUAGUUUUUAAAAUUUUAUAAAUAUUAAAAACUUGUUACUUCUAAAAGGAACGCGUAGCUCAGCUGUCCCCUUCACCUAUUGGUUUUGAAUUGGUCGGUACACGCAACUCCACAACCUACCUACCUACCUACCUAUCUGGCUGUUGCCAACCUGGCUUUGGCUCCGUAGAUUGACGACUCGGCUUCUUUCCCAAGUCGGGAUGUCAAUGGUUAUGGAUAUGCAAAAUUUUAUUCAAAUUCGAAUUCGAAUGAAAUAGAUAUAUUCGAUGGAUAUGGAUAUGAAUUUCGAUAUGGAUAUCAAAAAUAGAAACCCGACAGAUAUAGAUUUGAAUAUGAAUUUUGAUUGUACCCGACCUGAAUCCGAACCCGAAUCCGAACCAGACCCGUACCCGAAUCGAACCUGAAUUUAUUUUGUAUUAUAUAUAAGAUAUAUAUAAAAAUUUGAUGUUAUAUUUGAAUUUGUAUUUUAAAAAUUUAGAUUUAAUAUAAUAUAUUUUGAAAUAUUAAAAAAAGAAAUAAUUAUUUCAGGUUCAAAUUUUCGGGUUCGGGUUUAGGUUCGGGUUUCGAAUUUUUGGUCGGGUUCGAGUUUGGAUAUGAAUUUUUAAAAUCCGUCGGGUUCGGGUUCGGAUUCAGGUCUCGGGUUUGGAGUCGGAUUCGGGUUCGGAUUUUUAAAAAUUCGUUCCGAAUUCCAUCCGUUGGCAUCUCUAUUCGCAAGUGCCCUGUUUGGCUGCAUUCCUAGUUUUAAGAGUCCAUUGUUUGACCCGUCUUCUGCAGUCCUAGUUUUAAGAGUCCAUUGUUUGUUUGACUAUUAAAAAAAAUUCAAAAACCAAUGUAGACUUGUGAUCCCUAAGGCUGCGUUUGGUUCGGGUAUAAGUAAGAACUGUUAGUUCUAGGAAUAGGUACAAGUUCUGGUAUAAGCAGGAACUAGACCAAUUUUGCGUUUGGAUGAAAAUUGGGUUGUUCCUAGGAAUAAGGUAAAUAGUGUUUGGAUGGUUAGAUUGGAACAAGAGGAAUAAGAGUUAUAAUUUGAAAUUAAAAUUAUAUUAUGUAAUUAAUAGUAAUAAAAAUAUUACUUAAAAAUAAAUAAGAAAUUAAUUNUAUCUUUAUAGUUAGAUUUUGUUAAAUGAAUUAUUAGAAAUAAUCUUUAUUUCUGUAAAAUUAUUAUUUUAUUCUUUCAAAUAUAUUUUAUUAUUAUUAUUAAUUUUUUUUAUUUAUUCUUAAGUUAGGGAUAGAAAAAAUAUUUUAACUUUUUAUUCUUUCAAAUAUUUUAUCCUUAAACAGAGACAAAAUAGGUAUUUUGAUUUUUUUAAUUUUGAUACAAAUUUAACUACAGGUUUAACUGAAAAUGACUUAACGGAUACUAACAAUAAAUUUUUUUUGAAUAAUAAAAAAAAUAUACAAUGAGUAUAUUUAAAAUAAAAAUAUAAAUAUAAAUUAGAUAUUUUAAAAAUUAUGAAAAAUAUAUUGAUAAUUAGUUUUUAAAAUUUUAUAAAUAUUAAAAACUUGCUACUUCUAAAGGGGCGCGUAGCUCAGCUGUCCCCUUCACCUAUUGGUUUUGAAUUGGUCGGUACACGCAACUCCACAACCUACCUACCUACCUAUCUGGCUGUUGCCAACCUGGCUUUGGCUCCGUAGAUUGACGAAUCGGCUUUUUUCGCAAGUAGGGUUGUCAAUGGGUAUGCACAUCUAAAAUUUUAUCUGAAUUCGAACUCGAAUGAAACGAAUAUAUUUAAUGGAUAUGGAUAUGGAUUUGAAUAUGGAUAUAAAAAAUAGAAACCCGACGGAUACGGAUUUAGAUAUGGAUUGUGAUUGUACCCGACCCAAACCCGAACCCGACCCAAACCCGAACCGAACCCGAAUUUAUUUGUAUUAUAUACAAUAUAUAUAUAUAAAUUUGAUGUUAUAUUUGAAUUUGUAUUUUAAAAAUUUAGAUUUAAUAUAAUAUAUUUUGAAAUAUAAAAAAAAAAAAUAUUUCGGGUUCAAAUUUUCGGGUUCGGAUUCAGGUUCGUGUUUCGGAUUUUUUGUCGGAUUCGGUUUUGGAUAUGAAUUUUUAAAAUCCGUCGGGUUCGGAUUCGAGUCUUAGGUUUGGAGUCUGGUUCGGAUUCGGAUUUUUAAAAAUUCGUCCCGAAUCCGACCGUUGGCAUCUCUAUUCGCAAGUGCCCUGUUUGGCCCGUCUUCUCAAUCCUAGUUUUAAGAGUCCAUUGUUUGAGCCGUCUUCUGCAGUCCUAGUUUUAAGAGUCCAUUGUUUGUUUGGCUAUUAAAAAUAUUUCAAAAACCAAUGUAGACUUGUGAUCCCUAAAUUAUACUUUUGUGAAAAGAAAAUAUUAUAAUUAAUAAUAGGAAUUUUGAAUAAAAGAAGUAAAUAUAUAUGUCUGCUUACUAUUUCAACAACAAAAAAAAAAAAAAAGCUUUUUAUUGUCAAGUUAAUUUUAGUAUUUCACGCACCAAACAACAAACAUUUACCAAUACAAUUUUCUGUAAAUAUAAAAAUUUGUAGCUUUUAACACUCAAGUCUCAACUACACUUCUUCGUCAAACAGAACGGACCGGUCUUAAUUGUAUUUUUUUUUUCUUUUGAGAGAUAGGUAGUACGUUAUUCACUUCGUUUAUUUUAUUUAGAAAUAAAUUUAGCUAAAAAUGCGAAUCAUUUAAAUUCGAACUUGAAAUUUCAGGUCUUAAUUAUCAAAUUCUUUGCCAUUUGUUCUAGGGACGGUCGGUACCGGUCUUAAC
RNAcentral lists this long non-coding RNA (36629 nucleotides) under Ananas comosus (pineapple). RNAcentral's name for it is "long non-coding RNA (ACOM_LNC008042)". The record is from RNAcentral. Lineage: Eukaryota; Viridiplantae; Streptophyta; Magnoliopsida; Poales; Bromeliaceae.